AUUGAACGCUGGCGGCAGGCUUAACACAUGCAAGUCGAGCGGAGAUGAGGUGCUUGCACCUUAUCUUAGCGGCGGACGGGUGAGUAAUGCUUAGGAAUCUGCCUAUUAGUGGGGGACAACAUUCCGAAAGGAAUGCUAAUACCGCAUACGUCCUACGGGAGAAAGCAGGGGAUCUUCGGACCUUGCGCUAAUAGAUGAGCCUAAGUCGGAUUAGCUAGUUGGUGGGGUAAAGGCCUACCAAGGCGACGAUCUGUAGCGGGUCUGAGAGGAUGAUCCGCCACACUGGGACUGGGACACGGCCCAGACUCCUACGGGAGGCAGCAGUGGGGAAUAUUGGACAAUGGGGGGAACCCUGAUCCAGCCAUGCCGCGUGUGGGAAGAAGGCCUUAUGGUUGUAAAGCACGUUAAGCGAGGAGGAGGCUACUGAGACUAAUACUCUCGGAUAGUGGACGUUACUCGCAGAAUAAGCACCGGCUAACUCUGUGCCAGCCGCCGCAGUAA
Molecule: ribosomal RNA, 501 nt
Filed under: uncultured bacterium
Lineage: Bacteria
Description: partial 16S ribosomal RNA
Rfam family: Bacterial small subunit ribosomal RNA
Source: RNAcentral